Molecule: ribosomal RNA, 253 nt
Filed under: uncultured bacterium
Lineage: Bacteria
Description: partial 16S ribosomal RNA
Rfam family: Bacterial small subunit ribosomal RNA
Source: RNAcentral
UACAGAGGUCUCAAGCGUUGUUCGGAUUCAUUGGGCGUAAAGGGUGCGUAGGCGGCGUGGUAAGUCGGGUGUGAAAUCUCGGAGCUUAACUCCGAAACUGCAUUCGAUACUGCCGUGCUUGAGGACUGGAGAGGAGACUGGAAUUUACGGUGUAGCGGUGAAAUGCGUAGAGAUCGUAAGGAAGACCAGUGGCGAAGGCGGGUCUCUGGACAGUUCCUGACGCUGAGGCGCGAAGGCCAGGGGAGCAAACGGG